UUUUUUUAAAAAAAGGGAGAGGAAUAGAAUGAAGUGGAAUAAAAAGGAGCAGAAUAAAAUCAAGUGGAAGAGAAUGGAACAAAAUGGAGCAGGCCAAAUUAGAAUAGAACGGGACGGAGUCGAACGGAGCAGAGUGGAAUCGGACAGAAUGGAGCGGAGAGGAAUGGAGCAGAACGGAACAGGAUGGAGCAGAACGGAGUGGGUAGAAUAGAGCGAAGCGGAAUAGAACGGAGCGGAACGGAAAAGAAUGGAGCGGAAUAGAACGGAACCGAUAGAAUGGAGCGGAGUAGAACGGAACAGAACAGGAAAAGAAUGGAGCGGAACAGAACGGAACCGGUAGAAUGGAGCGGAAUAGAACGGAACCGAAUGGAGUGGAAUAGAACGGAACCGGUAGAACGGAGCAGAGUAGAACGGAACCGGUAGAACGGAGCGGAAUAGAACGGAACCGGUAGAACGGAGCGGAAUAGAACGGAACCGGUAGAACGGAGCGGAAUAGAACGGAACCGGUAGAAUGGAGCGGCAUAGAUCGGAACCGGUAGAACGGAGCGGAGUAGAACGGAACAGAAAAGAAUGGAGUGGAACGGAACAGGGCGGAAUAGAGUGGAGCAGAAUAGAACGGAACGGAGUGGAAUAGAGUGGAGCAGAAUAGAACGGAACGGAGUGGAAUAGAGUGGAGCAGAAUAGAACGGAACGGAGUGGAAUAGAGUGGUAUUUAGUGAGUAUUAGUAUUUAAUGGCUGGUAUUUGGGUUUGUCUCUGUGACUGUACAGACGUGCGCAGACUGUAAUGCUGCUGCUGCUGCUCCACAUUGCUGAAUAAAUGAGAUCCAGAGUACUGCGCUCACCUGCUGGAACGUCUCCACAGUGCUACAACAGCUUCUGUACAGAACGUUUCAAACACGUAGCGUCGACCUCAGAUCCAGCUCAUACUGAUUUCCUGCUUCUGCGUGCUCUCCUCCUCCUCCUCCUCCUCCUCCUUCUCCUCCUUCUACUUCUCCUCCUCCUUCUCCUCCUUCUCCUCCUUCUCCUCCUUCUCCACACUCACUCCCUUACUGCAGGAGUUCUCGAGUAGCCGGCUCUAAUUCAGAAUA
Molecule: long non-coding RNA, 1089 nt
Organism: Ictalurus punctatus (channel catfish)
Lineage: Eukaryota; Metazoa; Chordata; Actinopteri; Siluriformes; Ictaluridae
Source: Ensembl